This 305-nucleotide ribosomal RNA is filed under the name uncultured bacterium. Its description in RNAcentral is "bacterial SSU rRNA". It matches the Rfam family "Bacterial small subunit ribosomal RNA", at positions 336 to 640 of the family's 1533-position model. The record is from RNAcentral.
CUCCUACGGGAGGCAGCAGUGGGGAAUAUUGCACAAUGGGGGAAACCCUGAUGCAGCGACGUCGCGUGAGUGAAGAAGUAUUUCGGUAUGUAAAGCUCUAUCAGCAGGGAAGAAAUAGCGACCUUUGGGUCGCCAGACGGUACCUGACUAAGAAGCCCCGGCUAACUACGUGCCAGCAGCCGCGGUAAUACGUAGGGGGCAAGCGUUAUCCGGAUUUACUGGGUGUAAAGGGAGCGUAGACGGCGAUACAAGUCUGAAGUGAAAGCCCGGGGCUCAACCCCGGGACUGCUUUGUAAACUGUGUUG